Molecule: RNA transcript, 2720 nt
Organism: Cercocebus atys (sooty mangabey)
Lineage: Eukaryota; Metazoa; Chordata; Mammalia; Primates; Cercopithecidae
Gene name: leydig cell tumor 10 kDa protein homolog pseudogene
Exons: 1
Source: RefSeq, a predicted model, not a curated record
CAAAUUUCUGGGCUCAAGUUAUCUUCCAGCCUCAGUCUCCCAAAGUGCUUGGAUUACAGGCAUAAGCCUCCAUGCCCUGCCACAGUUGGUAGAAUCUCUUGAUCUGAAAGAAGCUUAAGCUAAUGAAUGACUCAGGAAGAAGGUUCUCACCCCAGCCAAGACCAAAGAGGGUCAUGUCUUUCCAUUUGGCUACCUGGGUCCCAGAAGGGCCAUUUGUCUUCCUUUAAAAACCACAAGGGUACACAUGGAGGGUUUUGGCUGAGAGAUGCAGAGGGUAGCCUGGAUCCUGACCAAAUGAUGAGCUGCCUGACAGAGCCUGCUGACCACUAACUGCCAGAUACCCUAGGAUCAGGGAAUGCAGUAGAGAAACUAAAACCAGCUUUGAGGAGGAGGAAAGAACACAAAAUAAUAAUUGUAGGUCAGGAGCUUAAUUUGGAAAAAAUGAAAAUAAAAGCAGUGCUUUCUUGUAAUUUGUCUUUGUCUUUAGACUUCCUUGAAGAAUAUCCUUCCAAGGGUGUGUGAAAAGAGGGCCUGCAUUGUGGGCAGGCUGAGUGGGCAGGUGCAUCUGCAGAGAGGACUCUGGGAAGAAGAAGGACUUUCUGUUUCCACAAAUAAGCAUACCAUAAGUAUUUCUCUGUUGCCAGGAAUCAUUUGAAAUUAGGUUAAAUCCCAUUAUUUUGCAGAGAAGUAAGCUUGAAAAUUAAAAUCUUCCUGGAGGAGAAAAGUCAAAAACUAAGAUUUAAGUGACUUACGGUGAAAAAGUUCCAAAUAUCAAAUUUUAUAGAAAGCAGAUGUGUGUGAGAAGGAGCACUGCUGAUUUAAUGCGUGUAUAUUUAGGGAUCGUGCUAUUUACUCUAGGCCAGGUUUUUCUAUUUGCUGGCAAAUAGCAGGGUAAGGAUUCAAUCCUAGGUCUCCCUGAGUCCACAGCCAUGUUUUCCUUUCUACUAUUCUUCCAAAGGACCCCAGAAUAGAGUGUGUUAUAACAAAGUGGGAGAGUUUUACAGAAACCAACCUCCAGAAAAAUUUUCCAAUCUUGAGUUCAGCAUUUCAGUGCACUGAACACUACUUGUACCCCAUGCAACUCCCUGUAGAUUCCUUUCCAAGUAUGGUGUGUUCAUCACCCACCUUCCAUAUACUUGGUACCUGCACCCCUUUAAGGAUGGUCUUUUGUAACUUAUGCUCCAGAGCUCCUUUCAGGAUAGAGCUGAGUUCAGGUAAAAGCACACCUUUGCUUGGUUUUCCCUCCAUGUCCAAUUUUGCUUCCUCUACUCCCUUAGGGGUUCCUCCUGAAUGAACAUUCAUAAGAAAUCCUUUGCACCUAAGUCUUUCACUGAGCACUGUUUCAUGACGAAUCCAAGAUACAACUUCAUGAGAGAAUUGUAAAGAAAUGAUAUGGCAGCUUCCUUGUUAUUUUAUCUUAUUUAAUGAAUUUCUCUUCCAUUGAUUCUUUAAGGAGUUUCUAACCCCAGUUCAUAUUGUUUAUGUUAUUGAGCUGGUAGAGAACGAAAGCAGUUCUCUGACCAUGUCUUUCAAUGUGUCACACUUAAUUCUGAAGCAAAUGUCUAGAGGAUUGGUUAAUAAUACAAUGUCAGCUUUUCUCAUUUCGGUUAUCAGUUCAAAAGAAUAUGGCUCUAUCUUUCAGAAGAAAAGAGUUACAAUGAUAUAUUUUUGAUUGUGCAGGCUCAAGUUAUUCUCUUUCUGAGAUGGUGAAAGCAUCCUGACUGCUUCACAUAAUGGGACAUAUACUGGUCUAAGCAAUCAAGUGUAUAAGGGAUAUAAUCAUUAAGAUGUAAUUGUUCCUUGUAUCAGCAUUAUGCCAAAUAAAGCAGAAAUUGCAAUCUUUGGACCUAUUCAGUUUUCCAUUAAGCAGAAGACUAAACUGAAAUAGAGGGAUGUGAUAUUUAACAAGAAUCCCUGUCUGGCUCAAGAGAUUCAUUACAUUUGAAUUCAUCUUAGAAAUAAGGAAUCAAAGUGAACCUGACCAAGUAUAUAGACAUUCACUCUUCUUACCUGUAAAUCAAUCAAUCAAUCAAUCAAUCAAUCAAUCAAUAAGAAGAAAAACAGCAAUCUAAUCUUGUCAGAAAAUAAGCCUCCUGGAGGAGAGAUAAUAAGCUUGAAGCUUUAAUGAAAAAUAGCCUAUGAAAAUAAAUGAGGGAUCAUGGCGCAGGGGCAGCGCAAGUUCCAGGCGCACAAGCCCGCAAAGAGCAAGACAGCAGCGGCGGCAUCUGAAAAGAAUCGGGGCCCGAGAAAAGGCGGUUGUGUUAUCGCUCCCAAGAAGGCGCGCGUCGUGCAGCAGCAAAAGCUCAAGAAGAACCUAGAAGUCGGGAUCCGGAAGAAGAUCGAACACGAUGUGGUGAUGAAAGCCAGCAGCAGCCUGCCCGAGAAGCUGGCCCUGCUAAAGGCCCCGGCCAAGAAGAAUGGGGAGGCUGCCGCCAUCUCCUCCAAGACACCUUCCUGAGGACGCUGGCCCCAGCGCAGGCCAACACCCCACCCCCCACCUCCAUGUGGGAUCUUACAAGUGAUCCUACAGGCUGCACUGGCAGGAAGAGGACCCCAUCCCCCAGCACUGGGCUUCACCUAGAACUUGAGUGGGGGCCAAGAGUGCUGAGAACCCAGCAAUGACCAGGAAGAUACAGUCACCAGCUUCAUCUGUCCCCAUGCCCCUUCCCAGGUCCUGCCUCCACAGGUUUAACCCAGAACAAUAAACCCGGCUUUGUCAU